Molecule: ribosomal RNA, 512 nt
Filed under: uncultured bacterium
Lineage: Bacteria
Description: bacterial SSU rRNA
Rfam family: Bacterial small subunit ribosomal RNA
Source: RNAcentral
GAUCCUGGCUUAGAGUGAACGCUGGCGGUAGGCCUAACACAUGCAAGUCGAGGGGCAUCACGGGAGUAGCAAUACAACUGGUGGCGACCGGCGCACGGGUGAGUAACGCGUAUGCAACCUACCUAUCAGAGGGGAAUAACCCGGCGAAAGUCGGACUAAUACCGCAUAAAACAGGGGCACCGCAUGGUGAUAUUUGUUAAAGAAAUUCGCUGAUAGAUGGGCAUGCGUUCCAUUAGGUAGUUGGUGAGGUAACGGCUCACCAAGCCGACGAUGGAUAGGGGAACUGAGAGGUUGGUCCCCCACACUGGUACUGAGACACGGACCAGACUCCUACGGGAGGCAGCAGUGAGGAAUAUUGGUCAAUGGGCGGGAGCCUGAACCAGCCAAGUCGCGUGAAAGGAUGAAGGUCCUAUGGAUUGUAAACUUCUUUUAUAGUAGAAUAAAGUGAGCCACGUGUGGUUUUUGUAUGUAUACUAUGAAUAAGGAUCGGCUAACUCCGUGCCAGCCGCCGC